This 250-nucleotide non-coding RNA is filed under the name Clostridium felsineum. Its description in RNAcentral is "Clostridium roseum T-box sequence". It matches the Rfam family "T-box leader". From Rfam's summary of the family: Uncharged tRNA acts as the effector for transcription antitermination of genes in the T-box leader family. T-boxes are found upstream of many aminoacyl-tRNA synthetase genes and some amino acid biosynthetic genes usually in Gram-positive bacteria. Lineage: Bacteria; Bacillati; Bacillota; Clostridia; Eubacteriales; Clostridiaceae. The record is from RNAcentral.
AUAAAAGCUGUGAAGAGAAGAGUAAUUUUAUCGAUAGUUUUCAGAGAGUCUGCGUUGGUGUAAGCAGAUAACUUCUUUAAAAUGAAGCAAGUCUUGGAGCUACAUAUUGGAUUGCUUUGCUUUUUAAGUAUGAUACUAUGUCGUUUGUCUGCGUUAUUAGACUUUUUAGAGUAUUUAAUGUACUUACUGAGGCUUUUAUGGUGACGUAAAAGUGAAUUAGGGUGGUACCGCGAUUUUAAUCGCCCCUUGG